AACGCACGAGACCUGCGGACCUGCGGAGGGAUCAUUACCGAGUUUACAACUCCCAAACCCAAUGUGAACCAUACCAAACUGUUGCCUCGGCGGGGUCACGCCCCGGGUGCGUCGCAGCCCCGGAACCAGGCGCCCGCCGGAGGGACCAACCAAACUCUUUUCUGUAGUCCCCUCGCGGACGUUAUUUCUUACAGCUCUGAGCAAAAAUUCAAAAUGAAUCAAAACUUUCAACAAUGGAUC
This 240-nucleotide unclassified non-coding RNA is filed under the name soil metagenome. Its description in RNAcentral is "partial contains 5.8S ribosomal RNA, internal transcribed spacer 2, and large subunit ribosomal RNA". The record is from RNAcentral.